GCUGGUGAUUAGAGCGCGGUGGGACCACCCGUUCCCAUCCCGAACACGGAAGUGAAACGCCGCAGCGC
This 68-nucleotide ribosomal RNA is filed under the name Chloroflexota bacterium. Lineage: Bacteria; Bacillati; Chloroflexota. The record is from RNAcentral.